This is a long non-coding RNA of Raphanus sativus (radish), 1642 nucleotides long. RefSeq lists it as uncharacterized. Lineage: Eukaryota; Viridiplantae; Streptophyta; Magnoliopsida; Brassicales; Brassicaceae. The record is from RefSeq and is a predicted model, not a curated record. The transcript is spliced from 2 exons.
GCGGCGUCUUGAGUUUUUAUGUGUGAUUCUGCACAAAACAUGUUUUCUUUUUUUCUUCGCGAUGCUUCUUCGUGUGCGAUGGCGAUCGAGAUUCCUUUCGUCUCUUUAACUGAAAUCGGAUCUGAGAAUCGUUCCAUUUCAUUACUGUCAUUAAUUUUGUUUUCAGUCGGCUAAUCCGUGUAUAAAUAGGUAAUAUGCGCUUGACAUCUGUCCCUCGCCGAGAUUGAUUUUUUGGUCUUGGUUCUUUAUGAGAGAGAGACGAUUAUCUUCGCCGAAGGCCAUAUCGAAAUUUAGGGUUAAUUGUCUUCCUCGAUCUCUGGCCAUAUAAAGUAACAAUGGGGUUUCAGGAGAGACAAAACGUCGUGAAUCCCUGUGUCAAGCUUUGAUCGUCUCAGCUUCUAUGGAAACCGGGACGGUUACGGAACUUGGUUGUUUCGAUCAUUCUAAUUAACUUGCCAAUUAACUCCACUCUGUAACUAUUUAUAGGUGAGUUUGUAUCCAUUAAAUUCAUCUUUCUCUUCUCUUUAGAUUUUGAAUCCCCAGAGCCUUUUGAAUUCUCCGGUGGAUGGCGGUGUAGGAGUGAGAGCUGGUUGCAUGCGGAUCAGGUGUUUGUCUCAACGGAGAGCCAUGUCUUGGUUGUUUACCUCAUAGUGAAGAAGAAAGCUAUGGCGAAAGCCAUGUGAGAGACUGAUUCGGUGAGGGUCAUAAAAUUCUUGGAGGAUGAUCGGCAUGGAGUCGGCCAAUCUACAGAGAUAUCGUAAAAGACCAUCAAUUCCGGUAACUUCGUUACCAUUUGAGUAUAGCUUAUUGAGUUUGACGUGAAUGUUGAUUGAUGAAUCAGAAUGCUAAUUGUGAGUUGAAUUUAGUCUCAUUGCAGGAUCGAUCAUUGUAUAAAAAUUCCAUCUAUUUAUUUGUCUCUCACUUUUGUGUUUAUAACUGCAAAAGGCGGAGAUUUUGUUCAUCGCUAGAUAUGAAGGAUCUUUUAUUAUAUACAUUACAUGUUUAAGGAAAGGGAAGAAAAUUCUGGAGGAGAAAGGGAUCAGUUUGAAGCAUAACGUCAACCUGAGUUUGAGCUUUUUCAGAUUAGCCUAGAACAAGAGGCACAUGUGUUCAGGAUCAUUGGAGAAACAACAAGGAGUAUGACCUUAUGAGCUGGAGAGAAGGCUACACAAGCUCAUGGAGACAAGACAAAAGUAUGAGAUAAAAAGCUGCAGAUUGCAUUGGAAGAGGCUAAGACAACGCUUCAUGUGAACAGAGGCUGAAGCUUCUUGGUGGAAAGUCACCGCAUAUAUAGUCUCUGAACAUAUCGUCUUCUAUAGUGGAAUUGUUAUUGUUAAACAUUUUACAGAAGGUUUCAGAGAUGAUUUAGAAGAAACUAGGUUCAGACAUGUGUAUUCAGGGCCAUUGGAGGAACAACAAGGAAUGUGUCCUCAUGAGCUAGAGAGAAAGAAAUACGAGCUGAGCUCAUGGAGACAAGAAAUAUACUAUUUGGAAAAUAUUAUGUAUGCUUAGAUCAUAUUUAAAAAAACUACAUAUAAAUGAAAGUAUUUUUAAUAUUAAGCUAAACAUAUGCCCUGUAAUAAGAAUAACAAACAUUAGCAGUGAAGUGAAUGUUAUUUUCAAUAUAGAGUAAAACUAAAUA